This 490-nucleotide ribosomal RNA is filed under the name uncultured bacterium. RNAcentral describes it as "partial 16S ribosomal RNA". It matches the Rfam family "Bacterial small subunit ribosomal RNA", at positions 30 to 507 of the family's 1533-position model. The record is from RNAcentral.
AUUGAACGCUGGCGGCAGGCCUAACACAUGCAAGUCGAAUGGUAACAGGAAACAGCUUGCUGUUUCGCUGACGAGUGGCGGACGGGUGAGUAAUGUCUGGGAAACUUCCUGAUGGAGGGGGAUAACUACUGGAAACGGUAGCUAAUACCGCAUAACGUCGCAAGACCAAAGAGGGGGACCUUCGGGCCUCUUGCCAUCAGAUGUGCCCAGAUGGGAUUAGCUAGUAGGUGGGGUAACGGCUCACCUAGGCGACGAUCCCUAGCUGGUCUGGGAGGAUGACCAGCCACACUGGAACUGAGACACGGUCCAGACUCCUACGGGAGGCAGCAGUGGGGAAUAUUGCACAAUGGGCGCAAGCCUGAUGCAGCCAUGCCGCGUGUAUGAAGAAGGCCUUCGGGUUGUAAAGUACUUUAAGCGGGGAGGAAGGGAGUAAAGUUAAUACCUUUGCUCAUUGACGUUACCCGCAGAAGAAGCACCGGCUAACUCCGUG